GUGCUUAACACAUGCAAGUCGAACGAUGAACCGGUUUCGGCCGGGGAUUAGUGGCGAACGGGUGAGUAACACGUGGGCAAUCUGCCCUGCACUCUGGGAUAAGCCCGGGAAACUGGGUCUAAUACCGGAUACGACACUCCGAGGCAUCUUGGGGUGUGGAAAGUUCCGGCGGUGCAGGAUGAGCCCGCGGCCUAUCAGCUUGUUGGUGGGGUAAUGGCCUACCAAGGCGACGACGGGUAGCCGGCCUGAGAGGGUGACCGGCCACACUGGGACUGAGACACGGCCCAGACUCCUACGGGAGGCAGCAGUGGGGAAUAUUGCACAAUGGGCGAAAGCCUGAUGCAGCGACGCCGCGUGAGGGAUGACGGCCUUCGGGUUGUAAACCUCUUUCAGCAGGGAAGAAGCGAAAGUGACGGUACCUGCAGAAGAAGCACCGGCUAACUACGUGCCAGCAGCCGCGGUAAUACGUAGGGUGCGAGCGUUGUCCGGAAUUAUUGGGCGUAAAGAGCUCGUAGGCGGUUUGUCGCGUCGAUUGUGAAAGCCCGGGGCUUAACCCUGGGUCUGCAGUCGAUACGGGCAGGCUAGAGUUCGGCAGGGGAGACUGGAAUUCCUGGUGUAGCGGUGAAAUGCGCAGAUAUCAGGAGGAACACCGGUGGCGAAGGCGGGUCUCUGGGCCGAUACUGACGCUGAGGAGCGAAAGCGUGGG
Molecule: ribosomal RNA, 706 nt
Filed under: Streptomyces sp. Sp080513SC-07
Lineage: Bacteria; Bacillati; Actinomycetota; Actinomycetes; Kitasatosporales; Streptomycetaceae
Description: bacterial SSU rRNA
Rfam family: Bacterial small subunit ribosomal RNA
Source: RNAcentral